RNAcentral lists this long non-coding RNA (1161 nucleotides) under Salvia miltiorrhiza (redroot sage). RNAcentral describes it as "long non-coding RNA (SMIL_LNC013766)". The record is from RNAcentral. Lineage: Eukaryota; Viridiplantae; Streptophyta; Magnoliopsida; Lamiales; Lamiaceae.
CUUCAGUUACGGUUUGUAGUUUAAUCCUAUUUCCCAUCUAGGAGACAGUGAUAGUUAUCCUAUCAUAGUCCAGCUCAAUGGAAGUGCAUGCCUUGAGUCAGUCACCUCCUAGGAUUAAAUCACAACCCACUGUAUCUAAAAUCCUUGGAGAAUAAGUGAACUUAUGUUGUUGUAUUUUCCAAGAAAAAUUCUUCACUCUCUUGGAAGAGACCAUCUUAUCCCCAUUGGCCACCUUCACUAAAAUGUGUUUAGCAGGUUCAAAAGUGCACCCUAGUGUGAUAGCUACUGGCUCACUAAUGAAACUUAGUGUACUUCCUGAAUCUAGUAGAAUAUUGAUCUUUUUCCCUUCAGCCUCUCCAACCUAAUCCCAUAGUAGUAAGCCUUCCAUUACCUGAGAUAGCACUGAGAGUGACCUGAAUCUCAUCAAUGGUUUGAUUCUCCUGUUCCUCACUUAUAUUUUCAUUUAAAACAGCUUGCAUUGCCAUAUUUUCCUCAUCUUCUGUCAUAACAAUAUAGAUUAUCCUCUGUUUGCAUAUAUGCCCUAGAACAUACUUCUCAUCACAAUUAUAACAUAACUUUUGUUCUAUCCUGACGGCCAUCUAUUCAACUGUCAGCAUCUUAAAUGAGGGACUGUGCCAUACCCUCUAGGUGGAGUUGGGGUGGGUAUAUCAGAUCUUCUGAAGCUGGUGUUGCUUGAACUAUUGUUCCUCCUAGUGUUUCUUAAUUUUUGGUAAGGGCCUCUAGAGUUUGCAGUUGAUUUCUUCCAAGUUCUAUGGUAUGGUUCAACGAAAUUGGAUUGAACAUCUGCAUAAAAGCUUGUGGUUCUUCAUUCAGGCCGCUGAUAAAACUUGCUACGAAGUAAUCUUCAGAGCACUCCCCCUUAUUAUGAGUGACAUUCAUGCUUUUAACUCUUCAAAUUUCUCCAUGUAGUCAUCGUAGCUCUCUCCUUGUCUAAUCUUAUUGAAUUCAGCAAUUAUCUUAGCUUCCUUUAACUUCUCAAACCUUGCUGAAAUGAGAUCAACAAACUGCUGCCACUCAAUAUCGAUCUGUCGGGAUGACAAAUUCAGGUACCAUUGUGAUGCCCUACCAUCAAAAUGCAUUGAGGCCAGUGUGACCUUAUGUUCAUCAGGAAUAUUAGGAAUCAACUUGAAAUAAACUUGG